RNAcentral lists this non-coding RNA (22 nucleotides) under Arabidopsis thaliana (thale cress). The record is from RNAcentral. Lineage: Eukaryota; Viridiplantae; Streptophyta; Magnoliopsida; Brassicales; Brassicaceae.
UAUAAACCCGUCCUACCAUCUU